Long non-coding RNA from Pogoniulus pusillus (Red-fronted tinkerbird), 901 nucleotides. RefSeq lists it as uncharacterized. NCBI's taxonomy places the organism in Eukaryota, Metazoa, Chordata, Aves, Piciformes, Lybiidae. The record is from RefSeq and is a predicted model, not a curated record. The transcript is spliced from 3 exons.
AGACCCAGAAGGGCGACCUUGUGUCUUUAAGGCUGAUGGUGUUCAGCUGCACCGCUCAGCAGGCAGUAAUUAGGCAGCUGCUUUGCCCAGAAACUUAAAGCAGAGCCUGAGUUGCUCUGUGCUCUUGAAUUAAAAACACACCAAAUAAAACCAACUGAAAGCCACAACAAACCCCUCAGAAACAACAAGAAACCCCAAAACCUUCAUUCCAAUAAAGGAGGGUUUUUUACUGUCUCUUUUUCCUCCCAGCCAGGAUGGCAGCAAACAGAAGCCAGAGCCCCAGAGGGUCCUGAAGUCCUCUUGCCACGCAGGCAGUCCCCAGGGUGUGGUGCUCACAGGAGGAAGCAAUUAGGGCCAUUAGAGGGGCAGGUGGGGCCAGGAGAGCACGGCUGGAGGUCGGAGUGGGGCUGCAUAAGAGAGGAGCUCGGAGCCCAGCCGAGGCGGCUGCUGCAUCGUCUGGGACGGGUCGCAGCUUCCGUGGGGAUGAGGCUGAAGUGCGGCGUGGACGUGAUCACUACAAGCUAAUGCCUUUGCUCUGCUGGAAGGACAAUGCCAUGGCACAGCCACUCCACUGCCUGCUACUGGAGUGUUCAGCCUUCAGCAUUCCACACUUCAGCAUGGGAAAGCUGCACUUCCAGGUACAGACUUGGAGGAUUUUGGUGAUUCACAGACACUGUUUUGAAUAGUGGGCUACAAAUAUUUGGAAAGCUCUUCUCUCCUGGUGGCAAGAAUAGCAACAAGUCUGUGGUCAUUCAGCCCUGACUAGACUGCAAAUGCCUUCCUUCCAGCAUUCCUCUAACUCUGCAGCAGAUGCAUGAAGCAAUGGAGCCUCUUGAACAGGUGCAAAGGGACUCAAACUGAGAUGGAAUUCCAAACAAAUGAUCUUGAGUUCUCUUCUCCA